UUGCAAAAAUAAUACAAGACAGCAGCACCUAAGAAGAAGAAGAGUAACAAGACAAUUCCUUCAAUGUAAAUUCUAACUGCAACGAGUAAGAUGUACUAGCGACGCACGAAACUUCACAACGGCACGAUCGGCUCUUGUGUAUGCUACGUUCGCUGGACGAAGAAAAGCAUAUCCUGUACGAUCGUUCUACCAGUCGGCAGCGACCGGCCCCCGUAGAACGCAAAGAAAUGUGACCCAACCCACCCGUUCAGCGUUGCGCCGGUGGGCCCGCUGCUUUUCGAAGCAGAAGUGGAGUAUCUACGAUCAAAUGUAAAUUCUGAGGUAGCCGAUUUAAUGCCGUUCGGAAUGCCUGAAAGUAUCAGAGCAUUCAGCUUCGACUCAUUUAAACGGCCAGAAAUCGUUGAACGCUGGAUUUCCCAUUAACGAACAAACUAGUGUCUGAAAUUAGUUAAUAUUAUGAAAUGAUUAUCAUAAUUGAGAUGCUAAGAUCAAUUUUCCGCUUCUUACUUCAUUGCAAACGGCAACAGUUACGCGUGUAGCUUUCUAAAAUUCUAAAAUUCAACGUUUUAAUUACUGAGAUUAUCAAAGAGUAACUCUAACAGCAGAUCUAAUAAAUUUUAUAGAAUAAAAACAAGAUUUGUUUAAAAAUGCGUUGUUUUAAGAUGAACAAGUGUGAAAAACAAAAAACAUCCGUAUGAGGGAUAAAAGAGUCGUCGAUGUGAACUAUUCUCGCGGCUGUCGUAAGCAUUUUAAUGUUUCAUGGGACAGUAGUUCGAAGAUUUAACCGACUUCGUUCGAAUUUCAAUGCUUGGUAUCGGAAAAAAGAAUCGAUCGAAAUAUUGUAUGCAACGUCGUUUUUAUGCUCCUACUUUAAAGAUAUCAGUCUUUAGUAUCAGAUAUAUUACGACUGUUUUGGAAAGCUUUAAAAAUAUCUAUAGUAUUCCUGCAUGAAGAUGAAUAAUUGCUUAGCAGGCGCAGUCGAUCAUUUUACAACGUAUUGCAAGUGAAAACAAGUAAUUGUUAAAAACAUGUAGACGUCAAGAAAUAUAUUAAAAUAUAAGCUAGAAAAAGGCACAUAUUUUUCUGCUAUUAUUAAAAUUAUCAAGUAUGUGCAGCAACUUUACAAUUCCAUUAUACAUAUAUAAUAAAAAGAGUAUCUGUGCAUGCUGUGCGACAUGUGUGCGUCCGAGGUUUCCCGAAUUCACGAUAAAUGGAUAAGAAAACACUGGUGAUGCAAUGUUUUUCCAGAUUAUGAAUCAAUAAGCCUUUACAGAUUUAAAUAUACAACUUUGAUGUAGGAUAUAAUUUACAUAAAAA
Long non-coding RNA from Ooceraea biroi (clonal raider ant), 1317 nucleotides. RefSeq lists it as uncharacterized. NCBI's taxonomy places the organism in Eukaryota, Metazoa, Arthropoda, Insecta, Hymenoptera, Formicidae. The record is from RefSeq and is a predicted model, not a curated record.